GGGGACCUGGGGGCACAGAGCUUGGCAAAAACGUAGAAGGGAACAGGUGCAAGAGGCUGAACUGGGUGAGAAUCAUCUACCAGAGCCACGUAGAAGUGCCUGGGCUCCUCACCAGGGAAAGAGGGGAAGGGGACAUCCCCGAUUCACCCAUGAGUGUGCACAUCUUCCCUGCAUUGGACAGAAAGCCCCCCGUGGGGAUGAGUGGGAAAGGGAUCAAAGUGAAUCUCCCAAGAUCAAGGUCAGCUCUACAGCUUUGCUGCGGAGAGAACUGGAGUGAGCUAUUCAGCCACUCUGAGCCUUGGUCUCCUCAUCUGUAAAACAGAGCUCGCAUCUUUCAAGUUGCUGGGUCAUUGGCAGGAUUAUAGCAGACAAAUCACACGAAGCAUUGAGCAGAGGGCCUGGCGUGGCUGCUGUGAGUGUCACAACGACGAUAUUGUCCCAUGAUGAGCAAGUUUUGGGGCUUGCACAGUUGCUGAUUGGUUGUACCCCCACACCCAACCAGGAAAGGAUAGGAUAGCAACUCAUCCAAAUUCAUUCUGAGGCUAAGUGGCUGUCAAGUCCUCUGGAUCAAACAAACUGAGGGUUAUGUUCCACUCCAGCUCACAUCUAAGGUUUCACAUUUGUCUGCCUGUCCCAGGAAGAAGUUCCAAAGAAUUACCUGUUGCUGACCAUACUUGCAAUGAUGCCAAAGAGAAUAUAGUAAAAAUGCACACAUUUGAAAACAAUAGUAGUACCCCGUUUCAUGGGCUAUUGUGCAGGUGAAAUGAAUCAAAACUUACAAAGAACCUGGAGCCAAACAGUGGGUGCAUGUGUUUGGAAGGAGUUUUCUUUGGGAUUGGGCUGCCAUCAUGAAACAAAAUGGUGGUCAAUAUAUUUCCAACAGGGAGAUGUCUGCUUCUUCACAGGUACACUGGCAGAGGGGGGCCCCUGCUUACCUUCAGAGUCCAGGAUGCUACUCUGGUUCCUGGUCACAGGAUGUGCAUCUCCAGCCUGGGAGGACCUGUCUGUGCAUCUUUAUCCCACACCCUUGACCUCUGCUGUCCCUGAAGUCCCUGCCACAGUACAGAAGGAAGAGCAAGCAGUGAAGUCAGGGAGCAGCUCAGGACUCUGAGGGAGACUAGGAGACCAGGAAGACUUAGAGUAGGAAUGUGACAUGACCCACCUAGAUCUUAACAGGCCGCUGUGCGGAGACUAGACUUUGAGGUGACAAAGGCAGGAGUGACCGCAAUGAUCCAGGCAAGAAAUGAGAAUGACUUGGACCAGGGUGGGCACCAUAGAAGUGGGGCAAAGUGGGAUGGUUCUGGAUGAACUGUGAUGGUUACCAACAGGAUUUGUCAAGAGUUUGGAGGUGGGGUUUGAAAAAAAAAUAGAUUCAGGGUGACACCAAGGUUUGCACUGAGACACGAAUAGAUUAGAGUCACCAUCCACAGAGAUGGGAAGGCCGGAAGGAGGAAAUUGGAGGGAACUAGAGCUGAGAGGGGCCACUGGGCCCACCAGGAGCCCACUGAGAGCAUGUUUCAGGAGACAGAGAGAGGAGUAAAGGGUAGACGAGUGGCGAUCCAAGGACCACCCAUUGACCACCACCCAUUUGAGGGCUGCGUGGCAGAGUCCCAUCCAGAAGGUCAGGGCCUCCAUUCCCCCAAAGGUCCACGCCUAUCAGCACAUUUCUCAAGAGAGAGAGAAAAACAAAACACACACACACACACACACACGUUCGGGGAGGAGAUCGGAGUCGUCUCCCUCUCUCCUCCAGCAGAUAACAUGGCCCUGGACAUGGGCUCAGAAAGAAGCAGUUGACACCUGGCCUUGAAGCGUCCUCCCUGAGGAGCCAGCCCUCCUGUCUCCGGCACAGAACCUCUCAGCCCUGGUCCUAUUUGGUUAUUCUACACGAAGGUUGGUUCUCCCAGGAAAAAGUCAGAAAUUCCUCUCCCUUCAGAAAUAAAAUAUAUACGCCUGCCCGUGGCCUCGCCUCCCUCUUUCUACAUUCUCAGCGUGAGGCUGGGCCUUUAUAAUUCAUCAAAAAGGCCACACGUAAUGAGCUCCGCUCUUACUUGGCAGCCAGACUGCCAGCUCACCUUUUAAGAAGCCUACUCCCUGGUCCGGGACCCUCAGAUCUUCUGGUCCCUGAGGCUGGGGAUGAUUCACUUGUGAGUCAGGCCUGGGGCUGAGCCAGUCCUGCCCUCUGAAGCCCCUCCCCCUCCCGAGGACCAGCCGGGCAGGGAGGGGCCGUGCAGGGAGCUCCCAUUCAUUCAUUCAUUCACCGAACAAGCUCUCCUUAAGUGCCUGCUGUGUCCUGGGCAGUGGAAGUCCAUGUGGACACUGUCUUACAUAAUCUCCCUGACAAUGUCACGAGAAAGAUAUCCACAUGUCCAUUUUGCAGAUGUCGAAACUAAGGUACCAAGAACUUUCACAGGCUGUCCAAGUUCCCUUGACUGGUGUGUAGUACAGAAUGAAUCUUGUCCAAAGAGAGGUAUGGCUUUUGCCAUCUGCUCUAAGUCCUUUGAAUGUCCUCCCUGGAGACCUAAGAGUGUCUUUGUUUACCUGGGGACUUUGGGCCUUGCCAAAUAGUUUAACAGUGGGAUUUAGGGUGGGGGGCUUUGGACCAUAAAAAAUGAACUUGACCUCUAGAAAGAAUGGAGGCUCUCAGCCUCAUGGCCUGUCCACCAUGUCUAUGGGAUCCAACUCCCAUAAAAACUCUGAACACCAAGGCUGGGGUGAGCUUCCCUGGGUGGCAGUAUCCCCUGUACCUUGUCACACAUCAUUGCUAGGAGAUGGUAGCACCGCCCCUGACUCCAAUGGGAAGGGACAGCCAGAAUCUCCACGUGUGGAGCCCACCUGGACUCUGCCCCACG
Molecule: long non-coding RNA, 2852 nt
Filed under: Marmota monax (woodchuck)
Lineage: Eukaryota; Metazoa; Chordata; Mammalia; Rodentia; Sciuridae
Source: RNAcentral